AGAGCGAACGCUGGCGGCAGGCCUAAUACAUGCAAGUCGAGCGGCCACUUCGGUGGCAGCGGCGGACGGGUGAGUAACGCGUGGGAAUGUGCCCUUUGGUACGGAACAACUGAGGGAAACUUCAGCUAAUACCGUAUGUGCCCUUCGGGGGAAAGAUUUAUUGCCAUUGGAGCAGCCCGCGUUGGAUUAGCUAGUUGGUGGGGUAAAGCCCACAAGGCGACGAUCCAUAGCUGGUCUGAGAGGAUGAUCAGCCACACUGGGACUGAGACACGGCCCAGACUCCUACGGGAGGCAGCAGUAGGGAAUCUUGCGCAAUGGGCAAAGCCUGACGCAGCCAUCGCCGCGUGAAUGAUGAAGGUCUUAGAUUGUAAAAUUCUUUCACCGGGAAGAUAAUGACGUACCGGAGAAGAACGCCCGGCUAACUUCGUAGCCAGCAGCCGAC
Molecule: ribosomal RNA, 442 nt
Filed under: uncultured soil bacterium
Lineage: Bacteria
Description: bacterial SSU rRNA
Rfam family: Bacterial small subunit ribosomal RNA
Source: RNAcentral